Long non-coding RNA from Salvelinus fontinalis (brook trout), 2422 nucleotides. RefSeq lists it as uncharacterized. The transcript has 3 exons. The record is from RefSeq and is a predicted model, not a curated record. NCBI's taxonomy places the organism in Eukaryota, Metazoa, Chordata, Actinopteri, Salmoniformes, Salmonidae.
GGGGGGGGGGUGACAAUAAUCAAACCCAAAACACAUCAAAUAGGAACAAACUACCCAUUGUUCCCAGAAUAAGGAGGCAUUUACUUGAACUGGCCCAAUUUUUGGUUAAAUUUCAAUUCUCAUAACAUUGUUCCUGCCAUCACUAGUUAUUAGUAGUUAUUAGGAAAUAUGCUAAAUCGUGUUGACAUUUGAUUGCACUAAACAUAGCAAAUUAUUUUGAUUGUAGACAGGCCCUGGAGUUCAUUCUUGUCCACUACACUAAUUUGUGUUCUUGCUCGCAAUUGGACAGAUAUACAAAUGAUAAAAUAUCAUUAGUCUUCAAAUAUAUCCUUAUUAAACAUGACUCAUUCAUUUAUUGUACAUCAUACAGAUCUCCUCUUCGACUUUGGUAUUGAAACAAUAAGAUUUUGCUUUGUUGUUCCACUCACCAACUGAGAUGGUAGCCUACUUAUUGGGUCUUGAUGCCCCCCUGUGUACUUCAAAAGAACUGCAUCCCCUGCAUCCAGAGUAACCCCAGUCGCCAUAGUCAUCCCAGUCACCCCAAUUACCCCAGUCACCCCAGUCAGUUCAUUGUAAAUUGAAAGGCCUAAUACUACUGUAGCUGGUCUUGCUGAACAAGAAAUAAAUAGCAGCAGCUAGCUUUUAAUGACAUUCUCAAAUUAAGAUAAGAGGUCAAAAAUGAGAAGAGACCUACUAAAGCAUGUAUACAGGUAUAACACUUACAAAGGUGACAUACAUGUUUUCUCAGCCCAAGCAGCCGAACUGUCAUCCAUGGAGGCCAGAGGGACAGUUUUAUUAGUGGUUUUCAUUAAGUCUUAUUAAUGGUAUGUAUGGGAUACAUUGCCCAACGAAAUGCCUUCUUGCAGGUUCCUUCUCGACAAUGCAACAAUAAUGAGAAAUAGUAAAAGAUAAGAAUACGAACAUAAAGUAAAUGCUUUAGUAGAAUAGAUUAAACAUUGUAGCAUAAGCAUAAUACAGGAAGGCACAAUUUAUUGUCCAAUAUUUACAUGGGUUUUGGGGAUGGGGGGUAAGUGUAUAAAUUGAGCCGUAUAAUAAGAGUCUGGUAGCAGCAGUUGUGAUUGUGUGUGUAGCAUGAAUGUAUAUGUGUGUGUGUGUGUGUGCGUCUGUGUGAAUGAGUGCAUGAGUGAGUGCAUGUAUGCUAAGGUGUGGAGAAUCAGAGCAGGUGAUCAGUCCAGUUCAAGAGUGUUCAACAAUCUGAUGGCUUGUAGAUAGAAACUGUUGGUGUCAAACCUCAUGCUCCGAUACCAUCUGCCUGACGUUAAGGGAGAGAACAACCCGUGGCUGGGGUGUUUAGGAUCCUUGAUGAUGCUCCGUGCCUUUCUCAGGCACCGUUUAGAGUAGUUGUCCUGGAUGGGUGGGAGCAUGGUUCCCAGUGAAUUACUGGGCCGUCUUCACUGCCCGCUGGAGGGCCUUGCAGUCAUGGAUGGAGCAAUUCCGGUACCAGGCUGUGAUGCAACCGGUCAGGAUGCUAUCGAUGGUACAGCGGUAAUAUUUGGAGAGGACUCGGGGCAGCAUGCCACAUUUCUUCAGCCGCCUUAGGAAGUAGAGACUCUGUUGCGCCCUGUUGACCAAAGUGGAGGUGGUCCAUGACAAGUCUCUGUGAUGUGGAUGCUGAGGAACUUAAAACUCAUGACUCUCUACUGCAGUCCCAUUGAUGUGGAUCGGGCGUGUUCCCUCCUCUUCUUCCUGAAGUCAACAAUCAACUCCUUUGUUUUGUUGACGUUGAGUGAGAGGUUGUUGUCAUGUCACCACAAUGCCAGUUCACUCAGCUCCUCCCUAUAGGCUGACUCGUUGUUGUUGGUUAUCAGGCCUACAACCGGGGUUUUGUUCAGCAAACUUGAUGAUGGAGUUGGUGUCGUGCAAAGCCACGCAGUCAUGGGUGAACAUGGAGUACAGCAGAGGAUAGUCAUUUGGGCACGUCACGAGAGCCAGUGAGAGCCAGGCGAAAGAGCUGAAGAGAGAGAAUGCAGCAGAACUGUCAGCCAUGGGGGUCAGAGUGACAGCCAGUGAAGGGAGGUGGAGGAGCUGAUGAGAGAGAAUAAAGGUGUCUUCAAAGCACCAGUUAGAGGAGUCUACUACUUCAGGGUCAGUGCCAUGGACAAGCGCUAAUCGCAAUACCUGAGAGUAUACUUGUUCAAGAUUGACCAGAGUAUAAUGUGGCCUCAUCAGUGGAACAGUCACAGAAAUGUUGUGAGUGUAUCCAAUGGAGUGAUUCUAGAGAUAGAGGGAGACUUGGUCUACAUGCGCCUCCCCUCAAGCUUCAGUCUCUAUGGUGAUAGCGAUAACGGCUGUUUAUUCAGUGGUUUCCUGUUCUUCCCAAUGUGAGGGGAACACCAUAAACAGUGUUGAGCCAAAAUGAUAUCUAGUCAUCGGUUACUCUGAGCUCCAUUGUUUCUAUUUU